GACGAACGCUGGCGGCGUGCUUAACACAUGCAAGUCGAACGGAAAGGCCCUGCUUUUGUGGGGUGCUCGAGUGGCGAACGGGUGAGUAACACGUGAGUAACCUGCCCUUGACUUUGGGAUAACUUCAGGAAACUGGGGCUAAUACCGGAUAGGAGCUCCUGCUGCAUGGUGGGGGUUGGAAAGUUUCGGCGGUUGGGGAUGGACUCGCGGCUUAUCAGCUUGUUGGUGGGGUAGUGUCUUACCAAGGCUUUGACGGGUAGCCGGCCUGAGAUGGUGACCGGCCACAUUGGUACUGAGAUCCGGCCCAGACCCCUACGGGAGGCAGCAGUGGGGAAUAUUGCACAAUGGGCUGAAGCCUGAUGCAGCAACGCCGCGUGCGGGAUGACGGCCUUCGGGUUGUAAUCCGCUUUCGCCUGUGACGAAGCGUGAGUGGCGGUAAUGGGUAAAGAAGCACCGGCUAACUACGUG
RNAcentral lists this ribosomal RNA (468 nucleotides) under uncultured bacterium. Its description in RNAcentral is "partial 16S ribosomal RNA". It matches the Rfam family "Bacterial small subunit ribosomal RNA", at positions 28 to 507 of the family's 1533-position model. The record is from RNAcentral.